Molecule: long non-coding RNA, 222 nt
Organism: Vidua macroura (Pin-tailed whydah)
Lineage: Eukaryota; Metazoa; Chordata; Aves; Passeriformes; Viduidae
Exons: 3
Source: RefSeq, a predicted model, not a curated record
GAGGAGAUGUGAAAAUGGCUGAAGGUUAAACGUGGCACAAGAGGAGAUGCUGCUGGAGAUCCUGGUUGGGAACACCUCGGAAGGCAGUUUCUAUAGCGAUGGACAAACACAUGCAGCACGCACGCCUGGGUGGUGUUUGCCUGCACUGCCUGAAAACACCACCAAAUUUUUGAGAAAUCCAUUGAAAAAUCUUUGCUAAAGCCCUCCAGAUCUUAAAUAAUC